AGUGAACGCUGGCGGUAGGCCUAACACAUGCAAGUCGAACGGCAGCACAGUAAGAGCUUGCUCUUACGGGUGGCGAGUGGCGGACGGGUGAGGAAUACAUCGGAAUCUACUUUUUCGUGGGGGAUAACGUAGGGAAACUUACGCUAAUACCGCAUACGACCUACGGGUGAAAGCAGGGGAUCUUCGGACCUUGCGCGAUUGAAUGAGCCGAUGUCGGAUUAGCUAGUUGGCGGGGUAAAGGCCCACCAAGGCGACGAUCCGUAGCUGGUCUGAGAGGAUGAUCAGCCACACUGGAACUGAGACACGGUCCAGACUCCUACGGGAGGCAGCAGUGGGGAAUAUUGGACUAUGGGCGCAAGCCUGAUCCAGCCAUACCGCGUGGGUGAAGAAGGCCUUCGGGUUGUAAAGCCCUUUUGUUGGGAAAGAAAAGCAGCAGGUUAAUACCCCGCUGUUCCGACGGUACCCAAAGAAUAAGCACCGGCUAACUUCGUG
This 492-nucleotide ribosomal RNA is filed under the name uncultured bacterium. Its description in RNAcentral is "partial 16S ribosomal RNA". It matches the Rfam family "Bacterial small subunit ribosomal RNA", at positions 29 to 507 of the family's 1533-position model. The record is from RNAcentral.